GCUGGGAUAAUGUCACCUAACUGUAGCAUAUAUAUAUAUGAAAACAGCAAGGGACCUAGAAUGGAUCCCUGUGGAACAUCGCAGACUACUUCUGAUAACAAUGAGCCGAAACCAGAAAGAUAAGAUCUGAACCAGGAUAGAACAAGACCAGACAGUCACACUGUGCUUUCAAGAUGAUUCACUAGGAUGGAACGGUCUGCAGAACCAAAGGCAGCAAUCAAAUCAAGAAUAAUUAAUACUGGUGGAAAACCUGAAUCAGAGUUUAUCAGCAGAUCAUGUCGAACUAGCUCGGUAAGUUUCUGUGAGGUCAUCAAUGCAAAAGCUCCCAUAGGAGCCUUAACAGAAGUAGUUGGAAACAUUCUGCCAAAGUCCUUAAUAGGUGUCUGUGGAAUCUCAUUUCAGAUGUCUACUACUUUACUUUUAAAGAAAUGUAAGAAGAGUGAGAGGAGGUGUCAAGGAGUGAAGUUUUUGUCAGUCAAAGAGGACAGCAUGCUUCUAGCAGUUAGUGCCUUCAUACUUAACUACACCACCUGGGACCAGGUACUCGAGGAGUUAAGAUGUAUAACUGGAAUUAAUGGAGCAAGCAUCUCUGACUUCUCGCACAUUAUAUUAAAACAGAUUAUGGGAAACGGAACACCUUUAAAAUCCCUCUGAAAUAGAACAAACUCUGUUUCAACCUGAUGAGAUGCAUAAAGUGAUUGAACAAACUGCCUGCACUACAUUGUUAAAAUGUUAGGGAUUUACAGUGGGCUACACAAAUAUGAAUUUGAAUCAAAUUGAAUCAAAUGUAUUAUCUGCUCUGUGAUCAGUCCGUGGUACAGCAAGAUCCAUUUAUGCAUGCAAUGGAGCUGGACAUUCUUAACUUACCUGUAGCAUCUGCUUUAUUACACUUAGUCUCGUCAGUUUAUUUUUAUUUUUUUGCUGAAAAUGUACAGGUAGUGCAAUACCUACCUAAAUGUACUGCUGUAAUGUAAAGUAGAUUAAAUAUAUCCCUGCAAAAGUAUGAU
This is a long non-coding RNA of Polyodon spathula (Mississippi paddlefish), 1007 nucleotides long. RefSeq lists it as uncharacterized. NCBI's taxonomy places the organism in Eukaryota, Metazoa, Chordata, Actinopteri, Acipenseriformes, Polyodontidae. The transcript is spliced from 3 exons. The record is from RefSeq and is a predicted model, not a curated record.